This 3755-nucleotide long non-coding RNA is filed under the name Bemisia tabaci. RNAcentral's name for it is "lncRNA ENSSSA1UGG011684". The record is from RNAcentral. Lineage: Eukaryota; Metazoa; Arthropoda; Insecta; Hemiptera; Aleyrodidae.
AUGCAGGUUGAUUUCAGGUGUGGAUGGAACUCAAUGAUGCUCGGCGUCAUUGGAAGUGAUCAUUUUGAAUCAUGGUAUGACAUAAACUACAGUCUCACCCUCUUCACCCCAAUUGAAGGUUUCAAGAAAAGCAGUGCCGUGUUCAAAAUCGACUAUUCUGACCAUUUGGAUUUGGAGACCAGAGUGUUACUACCAACAAUGAGGGUAGGAUUGAAAGCUCUGUGCAUCUACCAAAAAAUGAACAGCACAUCCUCUGAACUAGAUGAAGAAAGCUUCUUUGCAGAUGACUUAAUUCCGAAAAAAGAUUUGUUUUGGAGAGGAGCUGUCAACAUUGAUACAUUGUUUUAUCCAACCUUGAAAGUAGAGUUGAAUGUCACUGAACAUGAUUUAUCGUACACAACCAACUCCUUGAUAGACUUUCCAAACUUUGGUGCAAACAUCACGAACAAGCUCUUUUUCUCUGUAAGUGCGCAACAAUUUAAAUAAAUCUUUAAAACUCUAUCAAUAUAAAGUUAAACCUCAGUUUUCCAAAUGUUUUGUAUUCAAGAUCCCUAUAUCCAAAGCUACUCUGCGCCUGAGAGGUAAAAAGUGAUGCAAUGAGUUAAUUUUGUGGUUUAGGCAGGUACAAUUUUUCCAACUAACCAAAUUCGCGGCUCAAAGUAGGGUCAUUCACAUUGAGGAAUGUAUUUAACCUGGGCUGUUUCAGUAUUUCCAUGAUCAUUUUAUUUUUUCAUGGGAGAGCCGUUGCUUAAAUUUGUCUGGAAAUUUUAAUGCCUUUUUUCACAAGUGUAAUCAAGAUUCUUUGAAAAUUUCAGGCAAAUUCAUGUGAAACAAAAAUAAAAUGUUAGUAAGAAAUACUGGAACAGCGCAAGUAAGGUAUGUUCUCUUGAGCAGAGAACAACAAUUUGGCCAAGGACCGGCGUAAUUUUGAUGUAUGAUUUAGUACUCACAGUAAAAAAGCAAAAUUUACUCGUUACAAAUUUGAAUCGAGACGAGUGUAAUGCAUGAUGAAAGAUGGGACUUUUCAAAGAUUUCUAGCCGGAUCAAUAAAAACCGAGAACUUGCUUUCUAGAUUCAGGUUACGCACCCUCUGAUAUUUUUUGUUUUGUUACAUUUUUCUUUCAUAAUAAUUUGAAUACCUAUUUCAGCACCUGAUGGGUAUGAACAACAGUCUUGUGGUGGAAACAACAGCUCCAGCGUUUUCGAAAGCUGUUUGUAAUUAUAAAAUGGAAGGCACCUUUGGCAGAUCAAUGAAAUCAAAUCUCGCUCUAAAUGUUACUAGUCACAACCAAUCGUUACCUGUAAGUAACAGUUCAUUAUUCAGAUCAUAUAUUUUCCCUUGAUUUUUUAAAGUUUGUUUAAUUAAAGUUCUCUCAUGUUUGGCCGGAUACUAUCUUUAAAUUAGGUCGCAAAGAAUGCCUUCAUAAAUUAGAGAGGGUUUGACAGCAGCAAAUUAUCAUCAGCAUGCUACCAUUCCGAGUUCCAUUGCUCAGGGUUUUUCAUUGACAAAUUCUGGCUGAAUCCACAGUUUUAUCGAAUUGGAAUCAUUUAGGAAAAUUUCAAACCAACACGAAGACUCUGUUACCUAAUGUCCGUAAUUUACCUACCUGUCAAAUCCCUGGCAAGUUUGAAUCAAAGUAUGUUCUAAUAGAUUCAGUUCUGCUCAAUUUUUUUUUUUUUUUUUUUUUUUUUUUUUUUUUUUUAAAUUUUGAACAAAGAAAGUCUUAUGGAAAACUUGAGUUUAUGCACCAUGAACAAGUUUGAAUAAGUAAGUCAUUAGGAAUGAAGGUCCUAAGCAGAAAAGUAUAAUUUAUGAUGGCAUAUUUUUACACUUAUGGUUUUAAAACUUCUAUGUAGUAUAAUAUUUUCGAUCCGGGAAUAAAUAAGAGUUAGUAUUUCUAACGAUCUUAAAAAAAUUAAAUGAAUGGUUUGAACGUCCUUCGGGACUUAUUCAGUCAGGCACAGAAGCACCUUCAGCAGCCUGAAUGUCGAAACGUUGACUUGCUUUGCCGGCAAGAUAAGACCAGACAGUGCCCAAUCUGCGCUGUGUAAUUUAUCGAUUUUCGAUUCUUGUUGUGCCAACAUAAAUUUCAACAAUCAGGCUGUAGUUACCUUAUAUCCAAUCCGUGCUGACUAGUUACGUUUUCAUUAAGCACAACUUUUAAGUGGGCUAAUGAUUCAGUGUGAUUUCAGGGAAGUGUAGACGUUGAGUAUACAUUUCGCGCAACGCAGUACGAUGACGAUCUCAGAGAAUUUUCUGACAGGGAUAAAUACGGCCUGUAUGUGACACAAGUCAACAUCAGGACUCCGUUCAGCUCAAUGCAGUAUGUGAAAGGCAUCAUGUUCUUCCAAGUUGACCGUAAUUCCUUCGAAAACAAUGUUUCAAUUGUCACCAAUUUCUCAAAAAUGUUCUUGGAAGCUAGUCUGCAGGUUUGUAUCUUAUCAAAGUAUUUUUUUUUGUCAAUUCACAAGGCAUUCAUGGAUAAUUACUGUGUGUGCGGUAGAAAUCACAUAAAGUGUGUAUCAUAAUUUCUUUAUUAAUUAACACUUUGUCUGCAAAGACAAAAAAAAAUUAAAAUGCCUGAUGAGUAGUGAUGAGAAGUAAUUUCUUCGUAUUUUUUAGGGCUGAAUCCGGAAAGGACUAUUAAUUUCUCCAAUCACAUCAAGAUUUUCUAAAAAAUCUAAUUUUUUCCUAAAAAUAGGAUUUUUUCCAAAAAAUUUGAUUUUCUGUUCGUUUCGCUGUUUUUCUCUGACGCAGCUCUGUGCAAGAUAUAAAAUAAAAAAAUUCCGGUUGAAGACCUGCAUAAUGUUUCCUCUAACUUGUAAGGCUAAGGAGCAGGGCUAAUUGUUUAAUCAAGAAUUUAAUUCACUUAUUUAUGAGAAAUUUUCCAUUACAAAGAGACAGUUAAAUUUUAAUGGUCUCUAACAAUGGUUACUUAAUAAUGGUUACUUUGCUUCUUUUUCUUUUUACUAUUAACAUAUAACAUUUAAGUAUCACCUGUUUUAUCAGUGUCACUUUUCUUUUUUUUCCCAGUGUGUCUUACUUUUCUGUUGUUUGUUAUGCAGUCAUAUGAAAAUUACUUUGAGUCAGCAGUUGGUAUUAAUAUCUCCUCCAAGUUCAUCAAAUUUCCCUACUUCAAAAUGCUGAUCAAGAAAGACUUCUUGGAACUGGAUAAGAAAAUCAGAGUCAACUUCAUAUUACCAUCCACAACUUCGGUAAGUAGGUUUUUGCCUGUUAUUUACUCCAUUUAGAUUAAUUCAAUUGUCACGCUGACUGCCAAGGCUUUUUCAUUCCCUGGUCUUACAAGGCAAGGCCUGUCGGGACCAAUGGUUACCCUUUCUGAAGUAUGUUAGCAUCUAGAGGGCUGCAAACGUUGUCUGUCGACUUCCUUCUGUGCCUCGUAAACGUACGUUACUACAGGGUGCUGAAAAGUGCACCACUCUUAUCCUACUGAUUUGACGUUCCUAACAGUUUUCUGCAUUCAUCAACUCGUCGCUUUCUUCAUUCCUUUUGACAGUGUCCACCAGUCACUAUUUGUUGAGGAAGCUCAAUGAUAAUUCUGUCUUCAUUGGAAACGCACCUACAUUAGAUAAAGGCCAUUCUCCAAGAUAUGAAGAGCAGUGAUUAUUCCGACUUUUCUUUUUUAUUCUUUUCUCUUUUUUGUGCCAUGAUUUCCUAUUAAGCAAGAAGCAAAAAUCUGUUGGGAAUAUGCAAGUGGAAAACUCCAUAUCAUGGCUUUUAAAGUUGCAAAUUU